Molecule: ribosomal RNA, 164 nt
Filed under: uncultured bacterium
Lineage: Bacteria
Description: partial 16S rRNA
Rfam family: Bacterial small subunit ribosomal RNA
Source: RNAcentral
UAGGGAAUCUUCCACAAUGGGCGCAAGCCUGAUGGAGCAACACCGCGUGAGUGAAGAAGGGUUUCGGCUCGUAAAGCUCUGUUGUUAAAGAAGAACACGUAUGAGAGUAACUGUUCAUACGUUGACGGUAUUUAACCAGAAAGCCACGGCUAACUACGUGCCGG